RNAcentral lists this small RNA (211 nucleotides) under Salmonella enterica subsp. enterica serovar Typhimurium str. SL1344. Lineage: Bacteria; Pseudomonadati; Pseudomonadota; Gammaproteobacteria; Enterobacterales; Enterobacteriaceae. The record is from RNAcentral.
AGCACAUCGUCAGGAAAGUGAAGUUUGUGAUGUCCAUCACCUUUUAGCGUCGUGGAUAAAAGCGCAUAAAUAUCAGGGUUGCAAUCAUUAAUGAUAACGAUUAUCUUUAUCAAUACCGAGUGGUUGAGUUUAUAACCCACCUGUUCGGUACGACAUUGCUCACAUUGCUUCCAGUAUUAUUUGCCCGCCUCACCGAGUGCGGGCUUUUUUU